This 501-nucleotide ribosomal RNA is filed under the name uncultured bacterium. RNAcentral's name for it is "bacterial SSU rRNA". It matches the Rfam family "Bacterial small subunit ribosomal RNA", at positions 32 to 508 of the family's 1533-position model. The record is from RNAcentral.
AAUCAACGCUGGCGGCGUGCCUCAGACAUGCAAGUCGAACGCGAAAGCCCCCUUCGGGGGGCAAGUAGAGUGGCGCACGGGUGAGUAACACGUAGGUAAUCUACCUUUGGAUGGGGAAUAACAACCGGAAACGGUUGCUAAUACCGCAUAAUGCAGCGGCACCUAAUGGUGACAGUUGUUAAAGCGGGGGAUCGUAAGACCUCGCGUCUGAAGAGGAGCCUGCGGCAGAUUAGCUAGUUGGUAAGGUAAAGGCUUACCAAGGCGAUGAUCUGUAGCCGGCCUGAGAGGGCGGUCGGCCACACUGACACUGACAUACGGGUCAGACUCCUACGGGAGGCAGCAGUCGGGAAUUUUGGGCAAUGGGCGAAAGCCUGACCCAGCAACGCCGCGUGAAGGAUGAAAUCCCUCGGGAUGUAAACUUCGCAAGAACGGGAAGAAUAAGUAAGAGCUAACAUCUCUUAUGAUGACGGUACUGUUUGUAAGCUCCGGCUAACUCCGUGC